GUGCUUUCCUUCUGUCACUGGCAUCCCGUCGUGCGCCGUCACGCCCUCAGGCCUGCCCUCCACCCGACGUAUGUUUCAGGGUCAAGGUCGGGGGUGCAAGAACAGAUUGGCGGUGAGCGCCCAGCCCAACGUCACUCGAGCGUCAAGAUCCCCACACCGACUCCUACGACGACGACGAUUAUAGCAGAACCUGGCGGAGCGAUAGGCAAGCAAGAACAUAUCGCUGUCCAUCUCCUCUUUCAUUUUUUCCUAUUUCCAACGAUCAUCUAUUCAUCAUUGUUCCGGCGGAGGUAGAAAAGAGGUGGUUUUGCUGUUUACGGUUUGCAUACGUGGUCCUCGCCGGCGGCCGGCGGGCAGCGGGUCGACGAUGAAGCUGUAGGCCGCGUCGGUGGCCGUAAGCGCCAUGUGGAAUGGCCACGCCGACCCUCGCCGCGCGCCGCCUCGCAUCCAUGCUGACAUCACCACCACCGGAUCCCUCGCCCCCGGCCACGCCGGAGCCGCCGCCACCGCGGAGCAAUGAUGAAGAGAUCGCCGCCUUCCUCCGCUGCCAUGACAUCGUGGGAUGCUGCUUCGCUGCCGUCUCGCCGCUGCUGCAAGCUGCCGAGGCUAAAAACGGGUCUCCAAAGGCUCCGUUAUUUUACUUAUGCAUGAUACGUUUUCGAUACACAUCCCCGUGUGCUGCCAAUACUCAUUUUGCUUUUAAAUCUAUGUGGCUCUCUUAAUUUAUGUGCAACGUCCAAAGUGUGUCGAAAUUCAUGAUGUUUCUCAUUUGGCCUGAUGCAUUGCCAUCAAUCUAACUAUGCUUCACUGGUUUCUUGGGUCUUAGGUGUAGAUUUUUAAGCUAAGUCUGGUUCGUGUUAACCUAUCUUGAUUUUCAAUUAGUUAAAUAUAUAUUUUAGCAGUACUCUACUAUGCUUUGGUGCACGUGUAUAUGACUAUAUGAGGUUCUUGAUUUUGGUCCAAUGAACUUUGCAGACACUUGAUUACCUGAGCGGUUAGUAGAAAGAGCUAUUUCAUGGUUGUCAGGUAAUCGCAUACCAUUAUAAACAUUAAAAUGGAUUGUUUUAACCAUACACAUACACGUGUGAACUGACUUCGUUUAUCAUAUUGGUCUUUAUAAUAUUAGAAAUAGAAUACCACAAAGGUGAUAAUUGUUUCCUACCGAUGGACCAUCGUUUUCCACUUGGUGAUGAGACAAACAUAACAACCUCCAAUUCUCGACGUAUUCGUAAAAGAUCAAGACCAGAGUUUGGUCGACCUGGUUUGUUAGUAGAAGAAACAGCUGCUAGCAUGUUAUACUUAUAUGUUUUUUUUUAUCCAUAUUACUUGGUUUGGUUUUGCCUGGUCUUCGUUAGUUUUGACCAUGGUAUUUUAAAGUUGCAGGUGGUGAAGAAAUUGAAAAUGUUGAUGCAGCAAUAGCAGAACAUAAAAGGAAAGAAAGAAGGGAUAAUUAUGCCAAUUUGCUGGAGGAGGAAAAGGAGAGGAGGCGUGCAAAGGCCAGCGAAAAUUAUCAUCGUAAUAAGACCGAGGGCAAAACAAGCACUACGCCGCAACACUUAACAGGCACAACUUACACAGAAUUAGGUCAAUGUCAUGGACAUCACAGCUUUCAAGUGCCUAGACUGUUAUCACCGGGUUACCACCAUGUUUGCCUGGUAGAGGUAUUAUAUUUUUAGAACAUGGAAUUUCAAAAUGCUUUCAAAUUGCUAUGAACAUGAUUUUUUGAGAAUAA
This is a long non-coding RNA of Setaria italica (foxtail millet), 1732 nucleotides long. RefSeq lists it as uncharacterized. The record is from RefSeq and is a predicted model, not a curated record. Lineage: Eukaryota; Viridiplantae; Streptophyta; Magnoliopsida; Poales; Poaceae. The transcript has 2 exons.